Long non-coding RNA from Corapipo altera (White-ruffed manakin), 307 nucleotides. RefSeq lists it as uncharacterized. NCBI's taxonomy places the organism in Eukaryota, Metazoa, Chordata, Aves, Passeriformes, Pipridae. The transcript has 2 exons. The record is from RefSeq and is a predicted model, not a curated record.
GAUCUCUGAGGUCCCUUCCAGCCCAGCUGAUUCUAUGAUUCUGUGAUUCUAUGAUUUAUGAAGUCAUCCCUGUAACCAGCCAUCCACCACCCAUGGACUUAUCCCUCACAGUUACCCAGCGGGUUUUGAUCUCUCCACUGACACCUGGGUGUCCUGCAAAGGUUGCAGAAGCACUGAACACCCGUAUCCAGCAGGUGUUUCCAUGGCAACACCGUGUAAAGCCAUCCUUUCCCUCUGACAUGGGAGAAAAUGUUGAAUGGCUGAAAAGAACUGGCUUGGGAAAACCUGGAACUUCCACUAAAAACAG